This 667-nucleotide ribosomal RNA is filed under the name uncultured Bacteroidota bacterium. Its description in RNAcentral is "bacterial SSU rRNA". It matches the Rfam family "Bacterial small subunit ribosomal RNA", at positions 35 to 701 of the family's 1533-position model. The record is from RNAcentral. Lineage: Bacteria; Pseudomonadati; Bacteroidota.
GCUGGCGGCGGGCUUAACACAUGCAAGUCGAACGAGUAAAGGUUCUUGGGAACUGAGUAAAGUGGCGCACGGGUGAGUAACGCGUAGGCAACCUGCCCCUAGAUUUGGAAUAACUCCGGGAAACCGAAGCUAAUACCGAAUAACGUCUCUUGAUCGCAUGAUCAGGAGACCAAAACUCCGGUGUCUAGGGAUGGGCCUGCGUAAGAUUAGGUAGUUGGUGAGGUAACGGCUCACCAAGCCGACGAUCUUUAGCUGGUCUGAGAGGAUGAUCAGCCACACUGGCACUGAGACACGGGCCAGACUCCUACGGGAGGCAGCAGUGAGGAAUAUUGCGCAAUGGGGGAAACCCUGACGCAGCCACGCCGCGUGGUGGAUGACACCCCUAUGGGGCGUAAACACCUUUUAUGAGAGAAGAAGUCCCUACUCGGUAGGGUUUGACGGUACCUCAUGAAUAAGCACCGGCUAACUCCGUGCCAGCAGCCGCGGUAAUACGGAGGGUGCAAGCGUUGUCCGGAAUCACUGGGUGUAAAGGGUGUGUAGGCGGAGCUGUAAGUCAGAGGUGAAAUCCUACGGCUCAACCGUAGAACUGCCUUUGAUACUGCAGCCCUUGAGUAUCGGAGAGGUUGCUGGAAUUCGUGGUGUAGCGGUGAAAUGCGUAGAUAUCACG